AUCCAGCUGACGAGUCCUAAAUGGGACGAAAUAUGCGUCCUGAAU
Schistosoma mansoni is the source of this 45-nucleotide non-coding RNA. Lineage: Eukaryota; Metazoa; Platyhelminthes; Trematoda; Strigeidida; Schistosomatidae. The record is from Rfam.